RNAcentral lists this ribosomal RNA (480 nucleotides) under Eupales ulema. Its description in RNAcentral is "partial 16S ribosomal RNA". The stretch from base 354 to 480 matches the Rfam family "Bacterial large subunit ribosomal RNA", at positions 2473 to 2600 of the family's 2925-position model. Lineage: Eukaryota; Metazoa; Arthropoda; Insecta; Coleoptera; Chrysomelidae. The record is from RNAcentral.
UGGCCCGCCCACUGAAAUUUUAAAUGGCUGNGGUAAUCUGACCGUGCUAAGGUAGCAUAAUCAUUAGUUUUUUAAUUGAAAACUGGAAUGAAAGGUUUGAUGAAAAAAUAACUGUCUCUUUUUUAAUAAAUUGAAUUUUAUUUUUACAGUAAAAAAGCUUAAAUUAAAUUAAAAGACGAGAAGACCCUAUAGAGUUUUAUAUAUAAAUAAUUAUAAAUUUGUAGAAUAACUAUAAUUAAAAAUAUAUUUGAUUGGGGUGAUUGGAAAAUUUACAAAAUUUUUCUUUUUAUUUUUACAAUUAUACUUGAUUUUCUGAUCCAAAAAUUUUGAUUAUAAAAAAAAAUUACCUUAGGGAUAACAGCGUUAUUUUUUUAAAAAGUUCAAAUUAAAAAAAAAGAUUGCGACCUCGAUGUUGGAUUAAAAUUAAAUUUCGGUGAAGAAGCUGAAAUAUUAGGUCUGUUCGACCUUCAAAAUUUUACA